Long non-coding RNA from Balaenoptera ricei (Rice's whale), 2950 nucleotides. RefSeq lists it as uncharacterized. The record is from RefSeq and is a predicted model, not a curated record. The transcript has 3 exons. Lineage: Eukaryota; Metazoa; Chordata; Mammalia; Artiodactyla; Balaenopteridae.
UUUGGGCCUGGAGGGAGAACAAUGGGCCACUGAGGCCAGGCGGGGGGCGAAUGACAGGCCUCAGAGGCAGGGGAACAGAGGUUGCCUGCCCCCCAUGCCGACCGGCAGGAAAAGCUUCUAGGGCAAGCUAUUUGUCAGACUUCCUGCGGAGCCAGGUGCGGGGCCAGCUGGGUGAUUCCAGAAGACUGUCCUCAUGAGCACCACCACCACCUUUUCUUGAGGCCGUUCUGUGGGCCGGACACCAUGCUAAGCACCAGGCGUGCCGUCUCCUCUUUCUCAGCCUUGUCGUACAGACGUGGAAACUGAGGCCCGGCUCAGAGAGGUAUACACACGCCUGGAGUGGGGACUCCUCUAGUUGUCUACACUGGAUACAAUUUAAGACUGAAUUAUCCUGUCUCUGAGAAAUGUACUUUGGACCAACUGUGUGGUUGUCUUUUUUAAGCCAAGGACCAACCGUGCCCUGGGUGUUCCUGUCUUACACGGGUUUCCUGGAGUCAUUUAUGUCAUCCGGCCCCCACGUGACUCUGAGUUGGUGACUCCUGCUGUGUCCUGGCCUUUCCACAAGAGGCGGGCAUCAGGAAAGCGGCAGACACAGGUUAUGGGAAGACUGCAUCCCAGGCAAUUGUAAGAGGUGGUUGGGUUGAAAGGACUGACUGCGGCCACUUCAGUUCUCGAACCAGUCAGAGAGAUGGCCAGGCGUUUCUCCAGUAGAGAAACUGGAUCGCUCACAAAUAAAUGUAUGAAGGAGUGUUCAGAUUCAUUUGAAGUCCAGGAAGUGCGCAUUAAAACAAGUCACUUUGCCAUACAGCAGAGACUGGCACAACAUUGUAAAUCAACUAUACUUCAAUAAAUUAAAAACAAAACACAAAAAAACAAUACUGCCCGUCGGAUGAGCAAGAUAGCAAGUUGGAUGGUACCAAGUGUAGGAGCAAAUGUGGGAGACAGCCACGGUGCAUCAGCAGUGGAGGGCUAUCCAAACAAAUAGAACGGCCAUUCUGGAGAACAAUCUAAAACCAGCAGCCCCACUCCUUGAUUUAUAGCCUGGAGAAAAUCUCAUCCAGGAGCGCACGCUUUGGGACAAAAGGGGAAAUAGGAAGCACUGCAGGUGCCCAUCCCUAUGAGAAGGAAUGAGGCAACAUGGAGGACACCCGUUCUGGCAUGCCAUUGGCAAACAGCAGCAACCAAGGAGAUGCAUGGACGGCACGUUGGAAUGGAUCUCUAAAACAGGGUUAAGUGAACAAAUAACGAACAGAACAAGGUCUAUAGUGCAGCACCAUCUGGGUACAUGUUAGCUCCUAUCAUUUGGACAUUUAGAAUUGCAUAGACAAUUCUGUUUGGUCUCCAUCCCAUUCCCCCUGGUCCCCAUUACGAAGUUGCCUUUUCUACCUGGAUACUUUCUAGGAUUUCUCCUUUUUUUUUUUUUCCUCCUUUGAAAAUUUUGCUGUAGCAUUGCUUACAACGUCCUGGGUCCUUUUGCUCCGUACACACAGUUCUUUUUGCAGCUCAGAAGAGUUUCUUUGUGUUGCUUCUUUAAUUCUAGAGUUUGUUUCAUUUGUUCUGGCUUCUCACUCAUGAACACCAUUUUUUUUCAUUUGUCUGCUGUCUCUUCUUCCCCAUUUUUCUAAAAUGAUCAUAUUAUCAAUUGUAAUUUUUAUUUACUUGUCUUUUUCUUCUGUGUUCUUCUCUGAACCACCAACUCAACUAUCUGUGGCAUCAAUUCCAAUGUUCACUGCCACCAGUAUGGCUUGGGUCCUGCCAUUGUGUUUCUAGUUUCCUUGCCGACUCCCUUGUCUCACCCACCUCCUUCUGCAUCUCAUCUUGUUGCUUUCUGCAGGCUCCAUGCCUUCUUAGGCUCUAGGAAGAUGUCUGAAAUGACUUGCAGUGGGUCAUUUUUGGAGGUUUAUUCACCUCCUGGACACUGCCCCAUAUCUCCUGUACAAUUGUUUUUUUCAUGACUUCCAUGUUGGGGUUUUUGGGUUUUGUUUUUUUUCCUUUUUGCUCACCCUCAAGUGAAGCCAGAAAACAGAUCUGCUCUCUUUUUACUGGGUUGGUGAUCUACUCCUCCAGUCCUUCAGCAGGAGGGCAAGUUGAUGUUUGUAGAUACCAGCUGUCAACUUUAAUAAUAUCCUAGCCAGUUAUUUUACUAACAAAUGGGAGUUUAUUCAGGAAUAGCCAGAGGAAUUGUAAACUGGGAGGUGUGAACUAUGGCGGACUACAGGCAAAUCCAGCGAACAAGGCAGGGAACUUGCUUUUAUAGGGAAAAGGGGAGAGUUGCGAGGGGCUGUAAUAACCAAAGUUUCCAUUGGAGGAAACUGAGAGUCCAUUGUAUGGAGGUUUCUCAUUGGUUGGACUACUAUGGUCUCUGAUUGGCUGGGCUACCUUUGGGCAGAGAGGCGCUUUCUUCUUCCUGCUGGUGGUAAAGUAGGCAACACCUUCCUGUGGGAGAUGUAGGCAUAGGUGGCUUCCUGUUUGGAGUAAAUGACAAAGCAUGACUGCAGGGUGAGAGCUCCCAGGCCUGUCCCGACUCCAGUUUUAGCUGAGGUUUCUUUAAUUCCGCACAAAUUUCUUGUUUCUAGUGAAUUUUCACAUAGUUUCUUUGUGACUUCUUCUCCCUUCUGUUGUUUGCUUCUCUAUCAUCCUGAGCGAUGUUGGAUGGCAGAAUUGUUCCCGCCCCCCAGCUGCCCCCCACUGCCACGGGCACUUUCUCAUGCCUCCCACUGCUGCCCUGCACAGGACUCGUCCUCUGGGAAGCACCACAUCGUUGCCAACCCUGUCCUCUUUCUUCAACUUCUGCGCAACGUCUGAAGGUUCCCCCGCUGACCUGUCGGUGUCCUGAUGGAAGGACCAAGCCUGCCUGACUUCUUGCUGGAUCCUCGCACCCCACUGGCCCUGCCUCAUUGACUGUGCUGAUAAUUAGUUGUCAAACAGAUACAUCAGUAAAUGAACGAAU